GCCAGUAGUUAUAUGCUCGUCUUAAAGAUUAAGCCAUGCAUGUGUAAGAGCAGCUAACACGGGCAACCGUGGAACGUGAAUCUGCGAAUAGCUCCGUAAACGAGCAAUAAACUACCUGAGAGUAUGACAAGGAUAACGCAACCAAAUGUAGCGAUAAUACUUGCAACAAAAUGUAGUAGCCAUUUGAAUGCGCACUACAGUCACCCUUCGGGUGCGAUAAACCAAUCCAGGUCUCUCAGACGCGUUUCUUAUCUAUUAGUUUGUUGGUUGGGUAAGUGCCAACCAAGACGGUUAUGGAUACGGGGAAUCAGUGUUCGGUUCCGGAGAGGGAGCCUUAAAAAUAGCUACCAUAUCCAAGGAUAGCAGCAGGCGCGAAAAUUACUCACUUCUAAUACCCAAGAGAAGUAGUGACGAGAUAUAACGACUUCCCUCAAGGGAAGGUACCACUGUUACAGGUGGUUUGGAAUGGUUUCAAUGUAAACUGUUGUGAGAGUAUCAAUUAGAGGAAAAGUCUGGUGCCAGCACCCGCGGUAAUUCCAGCUCUAAGAGUGUAUACUAAUACUGCUGUAGUUAAAUCGUUCGUAGUCCACAGGUACAAAAGCGAUGUCUCUGUCUCGUGUUUCUCCAAAUCCGACCUCCCUUCGGGGUUGGAAGGAUGGCCUUCGCGCCAGGGGAUUCACUUUACGCACAAAAGGUCUUCGGAUCUUGCGGGGACUGUUGACGUCGUCGAGUAACUUUCAACCCUGAAAAAAUCGGAGUAUUCAUUACAGGCAUUUGCUUGAACACAAAAGCAUGGCACCGGUUUGCGGUCCUUCGGGACCAAGUAGGGUAAUUAGGAAGAGGGGGAGGACCCAUGUACUCAAUCCUGAGAGGUGAAAUUCGUUGAUUGAUUGAGGACAAACUAAUGCGAAGGCUGUUGUCAGGUCCACUACAUUCCUAUAGAUCAGGAACGAAAGCCAAGGGAUCGAAGAUGAUUAGAUACCGUCGUAGUCUUGGCUGUAAACUAUGCUAUCAGAGGAUUGGACGAUCCAAUUUGAUACAUAACGAUCCUUCCAGAAUUCAAGGGAAACCGAAAGUUUUUGAGUUCUGGGGGAAGUAUAGUCGCAAGGCCGAAACUUAAAGGAAUUGACGGAAAGACACCACAAGGGGUGGAGUUUGCGGCUUAAUUCGACUCAACGCGGCGAAACUCACAAGGAUAAGAUGCGGAAUGGAUUGACAGGUUGAUAGCCCUUUCUUGAUUACGCAAUUGGUGGUGCAUGGUCGUUCUUAGUUCGUGGAGUGAUUCGUCUACUUAAUUGUGAUAACGAACGAGACCUUCGCCUGCUAACUAGGAGGCAGAGGAUAAAAUCCCCUUUGUUUCAGCAAUGAAACCUGCCUGCCGAAAGGCAUAUCUUCUUAGAGGGACACCUUCACGUUUUUAGUGAGGGGAAGUUGAAGGCAAUAACAGGUCUGUAAUGCCCUUAGAUACCCUUGGCCGCACGCGAACUACAAUAUUAUAUUAAGCGAGAAUACCAAUCCUGGCCCUUAACAAAUGGUUGGGUAAACUUUUCAAGUCAUUAUAUGACUGGGAUAGAUGCUUGUAAAGGUAUCUUAAACGAGGAAUCCCUAGUAAGCGCAAGUCAUCAUCUUGCAUUGAUUACGUCCCUGUCUUUUGUACACACCGCCCGUCGCUCCUACCGACUGGAAGAAAAGGUAAGUUUAGUGGACCCACUCUAGUGGGGAAGCUACGCAAACCUAUUUUUCUGUAGGAAGGAGAAGUCGUAACAAGGUCAUCGUAGGUGAACC
This 1785-nucleotide ribosomal RNA is filed under the name Vrihiamoeba italica. Its description in RNAcentral is "SSU rRNA". It matches the Rfam family "Eukaryotic small subunit ribosomal RNA". Lineage: Eukaryota; Heterolobosea; Gruberellidae. The record is from RNAcentral.